AAAAAAUUACUAACCAUAAAAUAAUUGUCAGGAAAACCCAACCUUCCUAUUGACAGUUUUACCAAAGCAUCAAAAAUAAAUUUGUUUCCAAUAAAGUGCUUGAUCCUUAUGCAUACAUGCAGGGCAACUACUGAAUCUCCAAUCAGUGACCAUGAAUAAUACUUUUGUUUUUUGGCCUUGAACCUAUUGCAUAUGUUCUAGCCACUUCCUCUUCCUGGGGAAACAUUGAUUUUCUUAUGAAAAACAGCUCUCCAAUCAGGAAAUGGUAUGUGCCUUAUUAAGAAAUACUUUGAUCUGAAUGUUUGUGACCCCUCUAAAUUUAUGGGUUGGAAUCCUAACCCCCAAGGUGAUGUAUUAGAAGAUGGAGAUUUGGGGGACAUGAUUUGGUAAUGAGGAUGUAACCCUCAUGAAUAGAAUUAGUAUCCUUAUAAAUGAGGAACCAGAGAACUACCUUGUCCCUUUCACUAUAUGAGGACACAGCUAGAGGACACCUUCUAUGAAUCCGGAAAUGGAUCCUCAACGAGACACUUCAUCAGCAGAUGCCUUAUCUUGGACUUCCCAGCCUCCAGAAUUAUAACAAAUAAAUUUCUGUUGUUUAUAAGCUACCCAGAUUAUGGAGUUUUGUUAUAGUAGCACAGAUGGACUAAGGCAAAGGUAUUUUAGCUUUUUCCAUAUCUUUGUGUUUGUGUAUGUGUGUAUGGCAGACAGAAAUAAAAUGAAUUUGUUAUUAUUCAUCAUAAAGUUAAAAUAUUUUAAGAAUUUAAACUUUUCUACAAAAAUGUAAUUCAAGUUUGUGUGAGAAGAUUUGGGGUAUUGAAGAAAAUAUAAAGAAAAAAUCAUUAAAAAUUAUAUUAUUUAUUAUUUAUUUAUUGUCUCUCUUAGGCUCUCU
This 889-nucleotide long non-coding RNA is filed under the name Homo sapiens (human). RNAcentral describes it as "HSALNT0271987". The record is from RNAcentral. Lineage: Eukaryota; Metazoa; Chordata; Mammalia; Primates; Hominidae.